UACAGAGGGUGCGAGCGUUAAUCGGAAUUACUGGGCGUAAAGCGCGCGUAGGCGGCUUUGCAAGUCGGGUGUGAAAUCCCCAGGCUUAACCUGGGAACUGCAUUCGAGACUGCAUUGCUAGAGUAUGGGAGAGGGAAGUGGAAUUUCCGGUGUAGCGGUGAAAUGCGUAGAUAUCGGAAGGAACAUCAGUGGCGAAAGCGACUUCCUGGACCAAUACUGACGCUCAUGUGCGAAAGCGUGGGGAGCAAACAUG
RNAcentral lists this ribosomal RNA (253 nucleotides) under uncultured bacterium. RNAcentral describes it as "partial 16S ribosomal RNA". It matches the Rfam family "Bacterial small subunit ribosomal RNA", at positions 524 to 776 of the family's 1533-position model. The record is from RNAcentral.